RNAcentral lists this ribosomal RNA (253 nucleotides) under uncultured bacterium. Its description in RNAcentral is "partial 16S ribosomal RNA". It matches the Rfam family "Bacterial small subunit ribosomal RNA", at positions 524 to 776 of the family's 1533-position model. The record is from RNAcentral.
UACGUAGGGACCGAGCGUUGUCCGGAAUCAUUGGGCGUAAAGAGCGUGUAGGCGGCUCGCUAAGUCUUGCGUGAAAUCUCGGGGCUCAACCCCGAGCGGUCGUGAGAAACUGGCGGGCUAGAGUGCGGGAGAGGAGAGUGGAAUUCCUGGUGUAGCGGUGAAAUGCGCAGAUAUCAGGAAGAACACCCGUGGCGAAAGCGGCUCUCUGGAACGGUACUGACGCUGAGACGCGAAAGCGUGGGGAGCGAACAGG